CAGUCAUGCGCUUCACCCACUCUCUCCACAACGCCGCUAAGGACGCCCCUGCCACUUACCUCUUUCUGUGGAAGAGAUGCAUGCUCCCAAACGUUAUAUAAUCCUUCUUCUGGUUGUCAUGCGUAUGACAGUCAUCCUCGGUUGGCCUUUCCAAUUUAAGGAUCUUUGCAUGGCAUGUGGUUGUCCUAACCCUUCUCAUCGUGCCUGCCUCGUUCCUCGGUCUCCGUGUGUAUGUGAUCAUGGUGUGCUACGUGAUAUGACGACCGCCAAAUGCGUUACCAGCAAUCGAAACUGUAGAUGGCAAUAGGACAGCGGCUAACAAGGCAUAUUGUGGCGAUUCUUUCCGUUGGCGCGGCUCAGACCUCUAACCAGCAACUGACACUGAAUUCCUGAAAAUAAAAUUUUGUGACACUCCUCUUAUCUUCAGCCCGCCUGAUGUUCUCAGCAGUUGCACGUCCUGAAACAAGCCUGUACCGGUUUGCUACCUCGUCGCAUUUAAAGAUCCUUGCAUGGCAUGUAGUUGUCCUAACCCUUCUCAUCAUAUCUGCCUCGUUCCUCGAUCACUGUGUGUCUGUUAUCGCGGGGUGCUACAGGAUAUGAGGACCGCCAGCUGCGCUACCAGAGAGCGAAGCUGUUGAUGGCAAGCAAACCACGAUUAGGACAGCGGCUAACAAGGCAAAUUGUGGUGAUUCUUUGCGAUGGGCGCCGCUCAGACCUCUAACCAGCAACUGACACUGAAUCCCUGACAAUAAAAUUUUGUGACACUCCUCUUA
This is an RNA transcript of Dermacentor andersoni, 773 nucleotides long. It is a transcript of the gene named partner of xrn-2 protein 1-like, with no coding region annotated. The record is from RefSeq and is a predicted model, not a curated record. Lineage: Eukaryota; Metazoa; Arthropoda; Arachnida; Ixodida; Ixodidae.